RNAcentral lists this transfer RNA (72 nucleotides) under Triticum aestivum (bread wheat). It matches the Rfam family "tRNA". From Rfam's summary of the family: Transfer RNA (tRNA) molecules are approximately 80 nucleotides in length. Their secondary structure includes four short double-helical elements and three loops (D, anti-codon, and T loops). Lineage: Eukaryota; Viridiplantae; Streptophyta; Magnoliopsida; Poales; Poaceae. The record is from Rfam by way of RNAcentral.
GCCCCUAUCGUCUAGUGCUUCAGGACAUCUCUCUUUCAAGGAGGCAGCGGGGAUUCGACUUCCCCUGGGGUA